This 502-nucleotide ribosomal RNA is filed under the name uncultured Acinetobacter sp. Its description in RNAcentral is "partial 16S ribosomal RNA". Lineage: Bacteria; Pseudomonadati; Pseudomonadota; Gammaproteobacteria; Moraxellales; Moraxellaceae. The record is from RNAcentral.
CACAGAGUUAGCCGGUGCUUAUUCUGCGAGUAACGUCCACUAUCCUAAAGUAUUAAUCUAGGUAGCCUCCUCCUCGCUUAAAGUGCUUUACAACCAAAAGGCCUUCUUCACACACGCGGCAUGGCUGGAUCAGGGUUCCCCCCAUUGUCCAAUAUUCCCACUGCUGCCUCCCGUAGGAGUCUGGGCCGUGUCUCAGUCCCAGUGUGGCGGAUCAUCCUCUCAGACCCGCUACAGAUCGUCGCCUUGGUAGGCCUUUACCCUACCAACUAGCUAAUCCGACUUAGGCUCAUCUAUUAGCGCAAGGCCCGAAGGUCCCCUGCUUUCUCCCGUAGGACGUAUGCGGUAUUAGCGCUCCUUUCGGAACGUUGUCCCCCACUAAUAGGCAGAUUCCUAAGCAUUACUCACCCGUCCGCCGCUGAAUCCAGUAGCAAGCUACUUUCAUCCGCUCGACUUGCAUGUGUUAAGCCUGCCGCCAGCGUUCAAUCUGAGCCAGGAUCAAACU